This 556-nucleotide small RNA is filed under the name Pan troglodytes (chimpanzee). RNAcentral's name for it is "retained intron". The record is from RNAcentral. Lineage: Eukaryota; Metazoa; Chordata; Mammalia; Primates; Hominidae.
CUGUCUCUGCUCUGUCUCUGCUCCAAACCCCACCAGUGGUCUCCAUCGAAGACCCCUUUGACCAGGAUGACUGGGCCACUUGGACCUCCUUCCUCUCGGGGGUGAACAUCCAGAUUGUGGGGGAUGACUUGACAGUCACCAACCCCAAGAGGAUUGCCCAGGCCGUUGAGAAGAAGGCCUGCAACUGUCUGCUGCUGAAGGUCAACCAGAUCGGCUCGGUGACCGAAUCGAUCCAGGCGUGCAAACUGGCUCAGUCUAAUGGCUGGGGGGUGAUGGUGAGCCACCGCUCUGGGGAGACUGAGGACACAUUCAUUGCUGACCUUGUGGUGGGGCUCUGCACAGGACAGAUCAAGACUGGCGCCCCCUGCCGCUCGGAGCGUCUGGCCAAAUACAACCAACUCAUGAGGAUCGAGGAGGCUCUUGGGGACAAGGCAAUCUUUGCUGGACGCAAGUUCCGUAACCCGAAGGCCAAGUGAGAAGCUGGAGGCUCCAGGACUCCACUGGACAGACCCAGGUCUUCCAGACCUGCUUCCUGAAAUAAACACUGGUGCCAACC